This 68-nucleotide transfer RNA is filed under the name Turricula nelliae spuria. Its description in RNAcentral is "Turricula nelliae spurius tRNA-Ile". The record is from RNAcentral. Lineage: Eukaryota; Metazoa; Mollusca; Gastropoda; Neogastropoda; Clavatulidae.
AAUACUACGCCGGAUGAACGGAAUUCAUUGAUGUUGAAUAAUAUGGGAUGCCAUAAUCUCUAGUAUUA